GUCAGCAGGUCGCCUGGGUCUCUGUCUCAGUGCUCAGCAGGGCGAGGACAGGACAGAACGGGCCCCAUCACAGACUGCGCUUAGAAGGAACUCAGUAAAACAAAGACCAUUUUCUUCUGGAGGCAACUCAAGGAGAUUUCCAGCAUCACUGGUACUCAAUAUUGAAGGAAUGAAAAUACGUGAGGAAUAAAAGAAUGAAGAAAGUGACCUCUACCGCAAGGACACAGGCCCUGAAGGCUGAGACUGUGAAGGGGGCAGGCAAAGAUCCACGCCCAGACAGGCCACCCCUGCUCUCCUGGGAAAGGGGCCGAGAGCCAGAGAGUUCGGGGCAGAGAGAGCCUGAGUGCGAGGCCCAGGCCAGGGCCUUUACCAGCAAAGACCGGCCCCUCUGCCUGCGCCCUGAGGUCAUGGAGAAAGGCAGGGGUGGGGGUAUGGUCAUCCUUCCCAAGGUCCUGGAGUCAGGUCUGCUUACCAAGCCACCGUGUGUCCCAUGACAUUCUGGAGGCCUCCGGGCCCAAUGGAGGUCACAUCCACCGUCCUCCCGGCCCUGUCCUGUCCACUGGGUGGCUGCCCUCUUCCCACCCUCCAGUAUUGACUGCGUUGUGUGGGAUGGGGAAGACCUCCGGUCCCCUCCACCAAACAAAGCACAAGCCAAAGUGCCCACCAGCGUGAGUGCCGUGAGCACCGUGAACCUUCUCUAUGCCGAGGGGCACACAGCCUUGAGCGUCCACGGGGGAUGGGCCUGUGGGUGCUUUCCCUCUGCCCCAGGGAAGCGGUGGUAAUCACACCUGUGAGAUGCCGACAAUCAUGCGUGCGACCAUCCGUCUCUAGGUGCCCGGGGCCUGGAAGCCCAGGAGCUCCCACAUCCAGGGAGGAGGCACGGAUCAGAUCACAAGCGCCCAUCACUGCCCUCCGUGCAUACUGGGAAGGCUGAUGGCAGAGGCUAAGGAAGGGGAGAGGCCAGGAAAAGUGCGUGAAGAUACAUACCAAACACACAACGCUCAACUCUCGCAGAGCUUUCUCUAAAUGCAUCUCACUUACCGAAAGAGUACCUGAAAAACAAA
This 1064-nucleotide long non-coding RNA is filed under the name Homo sapiens (human). RNAcentral's name for it is "LMF1 antisense RNA 1". The record is from RNAcentral. Lineage: Eukaryota; Metazoa; Chordata; Mammalia; Primates; Hominidae.